Long non-coding RNA from Solanum lycopersicum (tomato), 927 nucleotides. RefSeq lists it as uncharacterized. NCBI's taxonomy places the organism in Eukaryota, Viridiplantae, Streptophyta, Magnoliopsida, Solanales, Solanaceae. The record is from RefSeq and is a predicted model, not a curated record.
UAUAAAAACUAAAACCAGCUCUGUUGUAAGAGGGAAAAUAAAAAAGACAAACUUUAGGGCUUUUCAUAUAGUAAUCUCCCUAUCAAAACCUCAAAGAUUUCCCAUUUCUGCAAAACCCAAAUGGAAUCCAAAGAAGACGAAGCCUCCCAAAACGGAGCAAACCCCUGGAAAUUCAGUCCAUUUCAAGCAAAGAUUCAGUUUUGUCAAUGCCUAAGCUUCCUGCAGAACUCAUCACUGAAAUCUUGUUAAGGCUUCCGGUGAAAUCCCUUUUACAAUUCAGGGUGCAGAUAUCUGGGUUAUGACGGAGUAUGGAGUUGAAGAAUCUAGGACAAAGUUGUUUACUAUCAAGUCUCAUAAUGAAUUUAUUACAAUGUUUGUAGGGUUUGCCCCUUUUUUGUCAAAUGGUGACAUUUUGCUUGAAAUUGAAUCACGUUUGGGGAAAUAUAAUCCAUAGAAUGACUCGAUCAAAUAUCUAGAGGUUACUAACUUUGCUCCAUAUGUUGAGGCAGAAAUCUACGUUAAAAGCCUAGUUUAUCUCCUUUUUUAGAAGUUACUAUGCCUGCAAUAGCAACGGAGGUUCAAAUACUCAGAUGAAGACACCCAUGUGACUAAUAACCUAAUGAUCUUAUUCUUUCACUUUAGCUGUAAUAUUGAUGAAACGAAGUAUACAUUGCAAGGCGUAAUCAGUUCAGGGUGCUAAUUUUGCUGCUAUGAUCAUGAGAGUUAGGUUGAGCGUACAGAAGAAUUUCGGAAUAUAGGAGAAACUGAAUUUGGGGAAGAGCUUUGUUUAAGAGGGCCUUGUCUAUUCUAAUGUAGAAUAAAAAGUGUUGUCAUCUUUGUUAUUUUGAACAAGAAUCAUUUCCAGUGUAGUUUAUUCUUUUAUGUUCUGAACAACCCUAAAAUUGUGUCUGUAAUUUGUAUUUUGAG